GAUGAACGCUGGCGGCGUGCUUAACACAUGCAAGUCGAGCGAUGAAGCCCAGCUUGCUGGGUGGAUUAGUGGCGAACGGGUGAGUAACACGUGAGUAACCUGCCCUUAACUCUGGGAUAAGCCUGGGAAACUGGGUCUAAUACCGGAUAGGAGCGUCCACCGCAUGGUGGGUGUUGGAAAGAUUUAUCGGUUUUGGAUGGACUCGCGGCCUAUCAGCUUGUUGGUGAGGUAAUGGCUCACCAAGGCGACGACGGGUAGCCGGCCUGAGAGGGUGACCGGCCACACUGGGACUGAGACACGGCCCAGACUCCUACGGGAGGCAGCAGUGGGGAAUAUUGCACAAUGGGCGCAAGCCUGAUGCAGCGACGCCGCGUGAGGGAUGACGGCCUUCGGGUUGUAAACCUCUUUCAGUAGGGAAGAAGCGAAAGUGACGGUACCUGCAGAAGAAGCACCGGCUAACUACGU
Molecule: ribosomal RNA, 465 nt
Filed under: uncultured bacterium
Lineage: Bacteria
Description: partial 16S ribosomal RNA
Rfam family: Bacterial small subunit ribosomal RNA
Source: RNAcentral